AUUGAACGCUGGCGGCAUGCCUUACACAUGCAAGUCGAACGGUAACAGGUCUUCGGAUGCUGACGAGUGGCGAACGGGUGAGUAAUACAUCGGAACGUGCCUAGUAGUGGGGGAUAACUACUCGAAAGAGUGGCUAAUACCGCAUGAGAUCUACGGAUGAAAGCAGGGGAUCGCAAGACCUUGUGCUACUAGAGCGGCCGAUGGCAGAUUAGGUAGUUGGUGGGAUAAAAGCUUACCAAGCCGACGAUCUGUAGCUGGUCUGAGAGGACGAUCAGCCACCCUGGGACUGAACCACGGCCCAGACUCCUACGGGAGGCAGCAGUGGGGAAUUUUGGACAAUGGGCGAAAGCCUGAUCCAGCAAUGCCGCGUGCAGGAUGAAGGCCUUCGGGUUGUAAACUGCUUUUGUACGGAACGAAAAGCCCCGGGUUAAUACCCUGGGGUCAUGACGGUACCGUAAGAAUAAGCACCGGCUAACUACGUGCCAGCCGCCGCAGUAA
Molecule: ribosomal RNA, 498 nt
Filed under: uncultured bacterium
Lineage: Bacteria
Description: partial 16S ribosomal RNA
Rfam family: Bacterial small subunit ribosomal RNA
Source: RNAcentral